Long non-coding RNA from Solanum tuberosum (potato), 3368 nucleotides. RefSeq lists it as uncharacterized. Lineage: Eukaryota; Viridiplantae; Streptophyta; Magnoliopsida; Solanales; Solanaceae. The transcript has 9 exons. The record is from RefSeq and is a predicted model, not a curated record.
AAACAUGUGUCAGUUAUGUUAGGGUAAAAUCAGCAAAGUAGAUAUACCCAAUUGUGAGUCUCUUCCUCUAGAUUUCUCUGAUUUAACAACAAAAUCAGCCCUUCUCCUCUUAGUCUGCUAUUGGUAUUAUUUGGACGUAAUCUUGGAGUUUUCUUCUCAAGGAUGCGGUGGGUACGCUGGUUGGGUUCUGGUGAGGAAGUGAAUAAAGGUGGUGCUAUAUGUCUGCCCAGCCACAAAACACAUUUGUGUUAAAAGAAAGGACUCCAAAUUUCCCUCAGUACUGCUCAUCGCUCAUCAAACCUGCUGGUCUAUUGGUUUGGCUCUUUUCAACUGCUGUUUAUAUUAAAAAACACAUUCUUAGAGUGUUCUUCUCAUCAAGGAGAUACCAUUGCAAUUUUAAGGGCAGAGUUGAAAAGUCAAAGGAAACAUGUCAAAAAUUUUAAAAAGAAAUCCCUCUGGUCCAAGAUAUUAGAAGAGGUAACAGAGAAGCUUGUGGACAUUGUGCAUUUCCUUCAUUUGGAAAUCCAUGCUGCAUUUGGCUGUGCUGAUGGAGAGAAAUCUAUGAAAAACAACAACCAGAGGCCAGAGAUCUCAUUUUGAGGUUGAUGGAAGAGAGAGAUUCCAUUCUUCGACAAAAUGCCAAGCUCAACCGAGACCUGUGUCUUGGGAUGAUAGAACUAUAGUUGUGGUCCUAGCUUUGCUUUUACGAGUGAUCAGCAGGGAGGAGCAACAAGAUUUGCAGAAACUUUUUGAAGAAGAUGAGGUCUUGAAAGGCCUCAAGGCACCAGGUCCGGAUGGGUAUCAGUUUCUUCGUGAAAUGUUGGGAGAUUUUAAAGGAGGAUGUGAUGGCUACUAUCCAGAACUUCCAUUCUCAGGAAGUUUUUGAAAAGAGCCUUAAUGCAACUUACAUUGCACUCAUUCCAAAGAAGAAUGGAGCCAAAGAAUUGAGAGAUUUUAGACCAAUCAGUCUCAUUGGAAGUGUCUACAAGCUAAUUUCCAAAAUUCUUAUAGAAUGGCUAAAGAAGGUGAUGCCAAAGCUGGUCGACACUCAACAAAUGGCCUUUCUGAAAGGAAGACAGAUCACUGAUGUUGUUCUCAUUGCAAAUGAAUGUCUUUACUCAAGAGUGAAGGCAUAUGACCAUGUUAACUGGGAGUAUUUGCUUGGAAUUCUACAUAGUAUGGGUUUCGGGAGGAAGUGGAUUAGAUGGAUAAGGUUUUGCAUUAGCAUUGUCAAGUUCUCAAUACUGAUAAAUGGUUCUCCUGAAGGUUUCUUUCCGGCAAGCAGAGGCUUGAGACAAGGUGAUCCACUCUCACCUUUCUUAUUUUUGCUAGUCAUGGAAGGCCUGAACAAUAUGAUUAAAACAGCGCAUAGGAAUGAUUGGAUAAGGGGUUUUAAUGUGGUCAAAGAGGUGAAUACUAGAUUGGAAAUCAUCCAUCUGCAAUAUGUAGAUGACACUUUGAAUUUUUGUGAUGCAGAAGACGGCCAACAAAAAAUUUGAGGAUAGUUCUCAUACUAUUUGAGUCAGUAUCAGGGUUGGACACUAAUUGGAGAAAGAGACAUCUUUCCAAUCAAUGAUGUGCCCAAGAUACAAAAUCUGGUGGAUAUUUUGGGUGGAGAAAUAGGACAGUUACCAGCAACAUACUUGGGUAUGCCUUUGGGUGCCAAAAGCAAAUCCAAAAGAUAUGGAAUGGAGUAGUGGAAAGAUGUGAGUAAAGAUUGUCUAGGUGGGAGUCUCAAUAUAUAUCAAGAGGUGGUAGAUUAGUGUUGAUCAACUCAGUUUUGGAUGCAUUACCAACUUACUUGAUGUCAGUUUUUCCCCUUCCUGCAAAGGUGGAAGAAAGAAUUGAUGCUCUGAGAAGUAACUUUUUGUGGCACGAUGAGAAGCAAUAUAAAGGUUUCCACCAAGUCAAAUGGAAGAUAUUGCUACUUUCCAAGAAGCAGGGAGGACUGGCCAUCAAAAAUCUUAGGAAGCAAAACAUAAGUCUUCUCAUGAAGUGGUUAUGAAGAUUUCUUUUAGAAGGACAAUCUUUGUGGGGUAGGGUAAUCCAAGCCAAAUAUGGGAAGGAAGGACCCUGGAAGACUAAGGAAGUGACAUCCACAUAUGGAACCAGUUUGUGGAGAUCAAUUAGUAACUUAUGGCAUGGCUUCUAUGCAAAGACAUAAUGUAAUGUGAACAAUGGGAGGAAGAUCAGGUUUUGGGAAGAUAACUAGUUAGGGAAUGGAAGUCUCAAACGCUUGUUCCCAGAUAUUCAUCACAUGAACCAACAACAAGAGUCGACUCUUUAUGAAGUUUGGUCCGAACAUGGAUGGAACCUUACCUAUAGAAGAUUGAUGCAAGACUGGGAGGUGUAGAGAUUGGCUGAAUUUUAUGGAACACUUGAUCAAUUCUUAGGAUUCAAGGAAGGAGAAGACACUCUUACAUGGAAUUGUCAUAACAAAGGAUUAUUCACUGUUAGUUCUGCAUAUAGAAAUAUGAAUUAGAUGGGAUCUCAAGUUAACUUUCUGCCUUGGAAGCUUAUAUGGAAGGUUAAAAUACCAUAUAAAGUGGUAGUUUUUACUUGGUUGGUAGUGAAAGAGGUUGUACAAGAGAAUCUUAUGAAGAGGGGAAUACAGAUGUGCCCAAGAUGUUUUUAUGAGCAGGUUGCAGAGACAAUUAACCAUCUGUUCUUACAUUGUAAAGUGGUUGGCCAGCUGUGGAAUUUGUUUACUAGCUUCAGAGAUAUAAGUUAGACUAUUCCAGAGAGAACAGGACAGACUCUAGAAAGCUGGAAUAUGCCCUGCUGGAAUAUGGAGGGCAGUGCACAAACAAGAGUGGAUGGAAAAUUGUCUCAGUAGUUAUUUGGUGGACCAUAUGGAAAGAAAGGAAUUCUAGGAGUUUUGAUAACAAGAGCUGCCCUUUGCACAAGAUUAAGAUGAACUGCAUUAUCGCUUUUUGCUAUUGGUGUAGUUCAGAGUAUAUAGAUGACCAUGUGGCUAUUGUAGACAUUCUAGGGUCCUCAUAAAGAUGAAGGAGGAUCUAGGAUAGUUUUCUUUUUUCUUUAUCUUUUGUUUAUGCCAGACACACCAGUGUGGAGGGAGGCUAUGAUGUAAAUUUUUGGAUACCAGCUUUGAGCUGAUGAUUGAUAUGCAAAUGUUACCUUUAUAAAAAAAAUAAAAAAAAAGAAUACCACAUUGAGCUGUAGCGUGUAUUGAACUAUCAUGUAGGUGUUUUUUGUUUCGAAGCAUGACUACCAAACGAGUUUUGACUGAAAAAAAGUUCAGCCUGCUAAAGACAGGUAAUGCUAAUAGGAUAGAAUUGUAUCUGUUUAUGUGGAUCCAAAGAGCAUAAUACUCAAUCAGAAUGAUUACUGUUAGUAUUUCCAGAAAA